GGGCCCGUGGCUCAGCCAGGACAGAGCGACGGCCUUCUAAGCCGUAGAUCGCGGGUUCAAAUCCCGCCGGGUCCG
Molecule: transfer RNA, 75 nt
Filed under: Archaeoglobus fulgidus
Lineage: Archaea; Methanobacteriati; Methanobacteriota; Archaeoglobi; Archaeoglobales; Archaeoglobaceae
Also listed under: 8 other names
Description: tRNA-Arg
Rfam family: tRNA
About the family: Transfer RNA (tRNA) molecules are approximately 80 nucleotides in length. Their secondary structure includes four short double-helical elements and three loops (D, anti-codon, and T loops). Further hydrogen bonds mediate the characteristic L-shaped molecular structure. tRNAs have two regions of fundamental functional importance: the anti-codon, which is responsible for specific mRNA codon recognition, and the 3' end, to which the tRNAs corresponding amino acid is attached (by aminoacyl-tRNA synthetases). tRNAs cope with the degeneracy of the genetic code in two manners: having more than one tRNA (with a specific anti-codon) for a particular amino acid; and 'wobble' base-pairing, i.e. permitting non-standard base-pairing at the 3rd anti-codon position.
Source: RNAcentral